GCAGAUGGUUUGACUCAUGUGUUUGAGUCUUGCUUUGCACAGUUGAUCAUUUGUUUUGUCUGUGAAUCCCAUUCCUCUUGCUUUUAACUGUUGAACUGUUUACUAAUUGGUUUGACUUUUUCAGGUACACUUUAGUUGCUUUAGUUGCUUGCGUUGCUAUUUAGCAAUUGCUUUUGAGGUAUAAUCUCUUUUACUUCAUGUAGUCUGGAGUCCCGGUCUGUUAUUUUGACCGGGCAAACUGUCUGAAGUCCUCCUUAAGAGGCAAU
Molecule: long non-coding RNA, 266 nt
Filed under: Lathyrus oleraceus (garden pea)
Lineage: Eukaryota; Viridiplantae; Streptophyta; Magnoliopsida; Fabales; Fabaceae
Description: Pisum sativum (pea) long non-coding RNA (PSAT_LNC007841)
Source: RNAcentral